This 2414-nucleotide unclassified non-coding RNA is filed under the name Hevea brasiliensis (rubber tree). The record is from RNAcentral. Lineage: Eukaryota; Viridiplantae; Streptophyta; Magnoliopsida; Malpighiales; Euphorbiaceae.
CUGCAUAAAUGAUCAAGACGUACUUAGUGGUGGAAAAAAAAUCCAUUUUAUUAAAUUAUAUUUGACUCUCUUCUAAAAUUCUAUAAUUUAUAGUAUUCUAAUUAAAGAUAUAGAUCAUCCAUGCUUAAUAUGUAAGUGCAAAUUUUUCAUAUUAAAGCCACUAUAAAAGUGGAUUAAUUUGGCAAAGAUGGAUUAAAAAGAUAAGAAUUUGGCAAAAUAAAGUGAUAAACCAAAGCAUAAUGAUCAUAACCUUUUUUUUUCAUGUUUACCUUUAAUUAAUUUUAUCAUUUAGGAAUCACUUUAUUUUAUUUCAAUUUGAUUAGGGUAGUGUAGACACAUAUUCUCAAACUUUCUGCAGCCAUUGACAGAUUACAAGUUUUAAUAACUUUAAUUUAAAGGAACAAUGAAGAUUAAUUAUAGGGGAGAGUUUAGUUUUCAACAGGAACACAUGGGUAGAGAAAAAGUCAUGACCCCACACAAUUUGCUGCCACAGCGAAGAUUUGAAUUAAAGGUCUCAUUCACAGGAAUGAAAAAUUCUGUGAUGUUGCUUUCAUGGAUCCCCACCAUUACUACUGCCCAAACUGCCCAAACCCACAUCAUCAGUGAGCACAAAAAGAUUGAAGAGCACAUUAUCCCAAAAUGACCAUGCAUCAAUCCAGGGAAGAAAUCAAAGAACAUGGAUAAAAGAGGAUAGAAAAUAUGAAAGAAAAUAGGAAAAUACCCAUCACCCAAUGACUCAAAAGGCAAUAAAAGUAAGAGCAUUUUAUCUCCUCUUAGAUCAUGUCCAUGUUUAAACAUUUGUAUGAGAGAAUUUGAGAGAGAGAGAGAAUGAUUUCUAAGUCCUAGCAAAUAAAUGGAAAUGGACUUGGUUAACUGUGAGAUGAUUAAGGAUUAUAAUUUCCAAAACCAGCAAGACAGAAUCCUUGCUUCUAAUGAGAAUAUCCCAUCAUAUAUUUCUAUAGUUUAACAUGAACAAAGGUUGACAUUCAAAAUGAUUCAAUGCGAAAGGUGACACUAAUGAAAAGAAGCACAUCGAGGAUGAGUCUUUUUAUCAUAAUUAACUUACCAAUUGUCAAGAUGUAAUUGUCUUUUUAACAUUUUCAUAAUUAACUUUCCAACAGCUAUUUGUAGAUUGAAAAUUAGACCUUUACAUUCAGAAUUCAAGAUCUCAAAAUAUUCAUGCUGCCAACUUGCAGUCUAAUUGAUGGAAAUUUCAAAUAAAACAUUAUUCAGUUCUAUGGACUAGCCUUCUCUCAUCAAGACAAAGAGCCAACAACUGAUUGCUAUAUGCUCAGAGUGCUCACAAAAUAAUCAAGUUUGCUCAAAAGGUUAAUAAAUCAUCAACGCAAGUGUUCUUUUACAGAACAUAGGACAUCAUGAUUAUCCAUCCAACCAUAAGAGGACCAACAACAAGAUAAAUGUCCAGAAUAUUGAGGUCAACUACAGCUACUCUAUUUGGUUAAUCUUUAUAACAAGAAAAUGUCUUUGAAAUUUGAUUUUUAAUCAAUCAAAUUUCAAUAUACAAGCAGUACAUCAACAAUAUACCACAACCAAUCAUCACAACAUUUGAAUUAGCAUCCCAAAAAAUUAUCAAAAAGAAAAGCAUAACAAGCUUUAAUCAAAUGGAUUAAACUUUGAAGACCAACAAGAACCAUAAAAUAAAAUACCUUUUAAUGUUCUUGUGUUUUACCCAUCCAUGACAAAUCCAUGUUAAGGGAAGAAGGCAUACCCAUCUGAGCAUCUGAGGAGCUCGAAAACCUGCCCUUUUUAGACCAAAGCCAAAUCUUAGAUACAGAGAAGCUCUCGCGUUUGGUUACACUACUAAUCUUCUUCCCCUCCAAAUCCCCAUCAACUGAAAGGCUUCCAUUCUGGUCAGCCCUUUCCUCAAGCUUAACUUCGCAUCCAUGCCGGUCAGUGCACAAGGGAACCCUCAGGUCCGACUCACCAAGCACAUACUGGUACGAACCCAUUGAAAAACAUCUUCUUGCAUCUAAAUUACUGCUGCUAGUCUCUCCUCCUGCCUCCUCCCCUGUUCCAUCAUUCAGCCUCCUGAAUUUACCAAGUCUCACUGGUAAAAUCCCCUUUUCAACAACAGGUUCUUCAAUUUCCACAAUUUUUUGACUAGAAGAGAACCCAUUUUCUACAUUACCAGGACAUCCAUCAUCUUCUCUUAGAUCAUCAAAAUCAAACAUUGGGUUUUCAAUGGAAAACCCAGGAGUAAAAAGGGUCCCUCUACAAAGAGGGCAUGUAGAAUUCGAUAAUAGCCAAGUAUCUAUGCAAUUGAUAUGGAAAGCAUGGCUACACAUAGGAAGCAAUCUCAGCUUGUCUUUCUCAGAAAACUCGCAUAAACAAACAGCACAAUCAAAUGGCUCUUUUAGACCCAUAAUCUCCUUGUAGAGAAACACAGGCAGUGC